Molecule: transfer RNA, 64 nt
Filed under: Hieroglyphus annulicornis
Lineage: Eukaryota; Metazoa; Arthropoda; Insecta; Orthoptera; Acrididae
Description: tRNA-Pro
Source: RNAcentral
CAGGGGUUAGUUUAUAAAAUAUCGGUUUUGGGGACCGAAGAUAGGAGGAAUCUCCUACUCCUGA